RNAcentral lists this long non-coding RNA (441 nucleotides) under Brassica napus (rape). RNAcentral's name for it is "long non-coding RNA (BNAP_LNC022408)". The record is from RNAcentral. Lineage: Eukaryota; Viridiplantae; Streptophyta; Magnoliopsida; Brassicales; Brassicaceae.
GCAGACAUGACACUAAAAAUUAUACAGACGCAGCAACCCAAAGUGGUUGAAAGAUCAUAUCAGAUGGAAAUCUUUCCAUCCUAAGUAUAAUCACAAACUAAAUGAAUAGAUAGGAAAUGAGUUAGCUUCACGUCAAGUAAAUUACGUACGUUGAUUCAAGAGAGUUAAAGCUUAAUUUAGCAAACGCAUGUCUUUUUUCGCCAAUCAACACAUCAAUAAGGAAGCUGAUGGAAACUAUACGGACAAAAAUCUCUUAUAGACCAGAUGGUCAAAAAAAAAUCUAGAGCAUCCAAAAAAAAUCUACAUGGACCAAUUAAAGAGAAAUGACGAUUUUGCCGAGUAAUAUGAGCCAUUGGAUCGUCACAUCUAUGUUUUAAUCUUGGCCAUACAACUUCAUACGUGUCUAAUUCUCUCUCCUUCUCUUUCUUUAAUCUCAACCAC